GCAUAUCAAUAAGCGGAGGAAAAGAAACCAACAGGGAUUGCCCUAGUAACGGCGAGUGAAGCGGCAACAGCUCAAAUUUGAAAUCUGGCGCAAGCCCGAGUUGUAAUUUGUAGAGGAUGCUUCUAGGUAGCGACCGGUCUAAGUUCCUUGGAACAGGACGUCAUAGAGGGUGAGAAUCCCGUAUGUGACCGGCCCGCACCUUCUACGUAGCUCCUUCGACGAGUCGAGUUGUUUGGGAAUGCAGCUCUAAAUGGGAGGUAAAUUUCUUCUAAAGCUAAAUACCGGCCAGAGACCGAUAGCGCACAAGUAGAGUGAUCGAAAGAUGAAAAGCACUUUGGAAAGAGAGUUAAAAAGCACGUGAAAUUGUUGAAAGGGAAGCGCUCACAACCAGACUUCUGGGCGGUGUUCCGCCGGUCUUCUGACCGGUCUACUCACCGUCCCGAGGCCAACAUCAUCUGGGACCGCUGGAUAAGACCUCAGGAAUGUAGCUCCCCCUCGGGGGAGUGUUAUAGCCUGUGGUGAUGCAGCGCGUCUCGGGUGAGGUCCGCGCUUCGGCAAGGAUGUUGGCGUAAUGGUUGUCAGCGGCCCGUCUUGAAACACGGACCAAGGAGUCUAACAUCUAUGCGAGUGUUCGGGUGUCAAACCCCUACGCGUAAUGAAAGUGAACGGAGGUGGGAAGCGUAAGCUGCACCAUCGACCGAUCCUGAUGUCCUCGGAUGGAUUUGAGUAAGAGCAUAGCUGUUGGGACCCGAAAGAUGGUGAACUAUGCCUGAAUAGGGUGAAGCCAGAGGAAACUCUGGUGGAGGCUCGCAGCGGUUCUGACGUGCAAAUCGAUCGUCAAAUUUGGGUAUAGGGGCGAAAGACUAAUCGAACCAUCUAGUAGCUGGUUCCUGCCGAAGU
This 900-nucleotide ribosomal RNA is filed under the name Asteroma corni. RNAcentral's name for it is "LSU rRNA". It matches the Rfam family "Eukaryotic large subunit ribosomal RNA", at positions 38 to 967 of the family's 3401-position model. Lineage: Eukaryota; Fungi; Ascomycota; Sordariomycetes. The record is from RNAcentral.